UUUUGAUCAAUCAAUUAGUUUAAAUGGAUAAUUCAUGCAUUAAUAAGUUAAUUGUUAGUUUAAAAUAGAUUGGUGGGUUAAUUGUGCAAAAUAAGUCUAAGUAGAGUAAUACAUUAAAAGGGGCUAUUUGAAUAAUACAAACGCAAGAAAGCAAAGAAGUCCAUCUGCUCUUAUUUCUACUUUUGGUCCAGGCGCUUGGAUGGCCCGAUUCUCUCAACAGUCCGUUAGCCCACUUCUAUACCCGGUCCAGCCCUUUCAGCCACCAAAACGACACCGUUCCAGUCCCAAUUAAUCUCUGCCGUCCAUCAGAUCUCAUCUGACGACAGAGACUGUCCUAAAAUACCUCAUUUCUAACCUAAUACACUCUCCUUCCUCUCUAUCAUCAGCCGCCACCAAUCACCCCACCUGAAAUCGCUCAGUUGAGCGUGCCACCCUAAAACCGCCGUUGACCACCGUUGACCAUCGCCGGAGUCAGCCAAACGACGUGAAACCACCAUGUUUCUUCUCCUCUUUUUCUCCUCUACAUCAUCAUAAUAAGAUCGUACUCCCAUUUCGACCCCGCCAUUACCCCAUAGAAAUACUUAAUCCAUUCGGCCCUGCUCCGAUUACCUUGACCUUUAAUACCGGCAUACCUCUACACAUAUAUCAUUAGAUAGAUCUUAAAAAGAUCUAUUCAAUGAUAUAAGUAUUAGGGUAUUUCAAAGUUCAAGUCCUGGCUAAAUCUUGCUGAAACUACUUCUGGCAUUUCACUUAGAGGUCAACAGGUAAUUCUAUUUCUUUUUCUCCUCAAAUGAGUAGUUUUUUCUCUUUUCCAGUUUGUCAAAAGGCAUAUGCUCCUCUAUUAGUUUGUUUUCUCAUAUGUUUAGCAUAUUUUAGAUAGUUUAGGACUUAAUAACAAUUAAUUCUGUGCUUUCAUGAUUAUAGUUGUGUUUAAUUGCAUGUUUAAAUUAGUUCAUUAGUAUUUUUAGGUUUAUUUGAUUUCCGGUUGGAAUUUUUCUUUUUCUUCUGUAACUGUUACUUCAAUUUGGGUUGGUAUUUGUUUUGUUUGAUUGGGGGCCUGUCUUGUUUGACAUGCAGGCCCAUUAGGUGUGAAAGUUCAGGAGACGAGUUUGGGUAUGGGCCUGGUGGUCAGAUGGCCCAAGUCUUUUGGUACCCGUGAGGUUAAUAAAGAAGGUUGAGUUUAGGAAUUAAACUUGAGAAAUAUUUUCUGUAACUGUUUUAGAAAGUUCUAGGAGAUAGGAAAGGGUUAAACAUCAAUAAAGAAGAUAUAGAGGUUGGGGUUUGAAAGAGUAAUAAACAGAAUUUAGAAGGAGUAAAAAGAAAAGGAAAUAACUAAAAAUACAGCCUCUAUUCUGUUACAAAAUAGUACCCCCCCCCCCAACCACCACACACACACACACACUUUAGAGAUUAUCAUUUAUUCACUCUCACUCAGCUCACACAGAAUUCAUACAUACUCAUUCCUUCCUUCACACGCACCUUCUUAAUUUGCAAAGGCUGAAAAUAAUUUUUCUGCAUUCAAAUUUGAAUUCCAGAUUUGAAAAGAAAAAAAAAACUCCAAAAAAAUAACAAACAAAAACAAUUCAGAAAAAGGCUGUAGUUGGUUCUGUGGUUUCAAAAAUAAUUUCCUCUGCAUUUCUGGGUUUUGAAGACAUUUCAGCUUGGAAUUUCUGUUGUUUGUUGCUGUUCUUUGUCAAUUAGUAGCUGAGCUUCAGUUUGUAGCUAUGUUUAGCCUUUAUUUGGCCAUUUAAGAUCUACUUGCUGCUUGCACCCAAGGGUGUGGCCUAGUGGUCAAUGAAGUGGGUGAGAAUCUUGAGGUCUCAGUUCAAAUCCCAGCUUCUUCCCAUCUAUCCAAGCCUUGGUGGAUAGAGUUACCUGUUGCUGGUGUGAGGUGGGAGGUAUCCCGUGGAAUUAGUCGAGGUGCGCGCAAGCUGGCCCGGACACCACGGUUAUAAAAAAAAAAAAGAUCUACUUGCUUCUUUUAAGGUACUGAUUUCCGCCACCUCCGAUGUAACAGUUGUUUGAAUUUUAUAUUACCAUCAAGCUUGUAAUCAUAGGCUACUUAUGUGUUCUGUAAAUGUUCCUUGGGGUACUUAGUCAUUUAUGGGUUUGAUAAAUACUCUCUUCUAUGUCUAUUUGCCAGAUUAGAACUAGAUUGGAGUUUUAGUGUACAAAACUAGUAUAAAUAUGAGCAUAAAUUGUUCAUGCUAUAAUGAUCAUGAAGGCAUUUUUAAAUUAUAAUGGUUGACCAGUUAAAAUAGAGCUAGAAUUGAGAUUUUCAGGUUGAAUCGAAGCUGCAGAAAUGUCCAUUUCCAGCAGUAAUGUAUUUGUCAGUGUUAGAUAGAUCUGGAAAUUUGAAGAAGAAAUAUGAAAAAGUUCGUUUGUAUAAUGAUUUGAUCUCAGUUAUGUUGAUAUUUAGUCUAUGGUUCAAAGACUAUUUUUCUGUAUAGUUUGUGUAAAAUGAGUUUAAAACAGGUUUGUAAUAACUCCGUUCAUCAAUGAUUGUAACUAAUCAGUAGGUCAAUAAAUGUUGUUCAUAUUAUUUUCGUUUUGUGUUAAUUGAUUUAUUCCUACUUUUGAUCGUGUAUAUGAUGUUGGAUAUGAUGAAGCUCAUGUAAAUGAGCAUAUUCUGAAUUAACCUCUUCCCUUUACCGUUUGGGCUUCACUUUAAGCUCAGAUCUGAGAAAACGAUUUUGUCUAAAGGUUUGUUGUGAGCCUGACUUUAAGCUGGCCCACUUCGGUGGCCUCCAGGCCCAAACCCCAUAAGAGUUCCACCUGGAAUUUGGUCAGGCCAAUAUGGCCAGGACUAAUUUAUUGUGUAUUACUAACUCAAUUUGAAUUAGUAACUCCAACACGCUUGUCCUUCAAUCAACCAAAAUCGAGAGUAUAAAUUUGAAUUAACAGUACGGGGAUCGUCCUUCUUCCCUUUCAAAAUAGAAUAUUGAUUCAAGCUUAUUCCAUUUAAUCUAAACAAUCAAAAUUACAUCUCUUUCAAGUUCACAAUGAUUUUCAUAAUUAUCGUCACAAUAUUCGUAGAAUGCUUUAGGAGCGAUUUAUGCGUUCGCGCGACUUUGGCCAAGCAAUUUUAAAAUUAAUUAAGUGUUAUUAAUUGUGUACACGAUUUUGACACUCAAACAAAACGGAUACACACACGUGAUCUGUUUCAAAGAUAAUCCAUAAUAAUUAUAAUAAAUAAGAGUGGUAAAGGUUAAAACGCACGUAUGUUCUAAAAUAUGUAAUAAUCAAUUAACAAGCCAAGUGUAGAUUGUAAAGCGACCGUGCUAAAACAACGAAAUCCGGGAGUGCCUGACACCGUAUCUCGGGUUAACGGAAUUUUUUACUCGGUCUUCUACGUUUCGCAGACUUUAAACAGUGUCAAUUUUCCUUGAAUUGAGAUUCUAAAAUAAAUGGCGACUUGGGACGGCGUAAAUAAUUAUUCCAAGUGACGACUCUAAUUAAAAUAAAUUAAUCUCAUUUCAAUAAUGUCACUUAAAUUAGAAAAACUCAUUUCCCCGCAAAAAAAAAAGUAUGACAUAUGGUAUACCGUAUUCUAUUGUCAUUGACAAGGAUACAAUGUUCUUAAGUUCUUUUUGGCAAGAGCUUCUCACAAUACAAGGAGUCCAACUACAUACCUCAUCAGCUUAUCAUCCAUAAACUGAUGGGCAGACUGAGGUCCUGCAUAGAUGCCUAGAGACAUAUUUGAGAUGCUUCUGUUCUGAGGAGGCUAUUAACUGGCAUUCUUAUCUAUAUAUGGCUGAGUAUUGUUUCAAUACUUCCUUCCAUUCAGGCAUAAGAACCAUCC
RNAcentral lists this long non-coding RNA (3802 nucleotides) under Nicotiana tabacum (common tobacco). Its description in RNAcentral is "long non-coding RNA (NTAB_LNC005124)". The record is from RNAcentral. Lineage: Eukaryota; Viridiplantae; Streptophyta; Magnoliopsida; Solanales; Solanaceae.